This 443-nucleotide ribosomal RNA is filed under the name uncultured bacterium. Its description in RNAcentral is "partial 16S ribosomal RNA". It matches the Rfam family "Bacterial small subunit ribosomal RNA", at positions 338 to 795 of the family's 1533-position model. The record is from RNAcentral.
CCUACGGGAGGCAGCAGUGGGGAAUAUUGGGCAAUGGGCGCAAGCCUGACCCAGCAACGCCGCGUGAACGAAGAAGGCUUUCGGGUUGUAAACUUCUUUUCUCAGGGACGAAGCAAGUAACGGUACCUGAGGAGUAAGCCACCGCUAACUACGUGCCAGCAGCCGCGGUAAUACGUAGGUGGCAAGCGUUAGCCGGAUUUGCUGGGUGUAAAGGGCGUGUAGGCGGGAAAGUAAGUCAGAUGUGAAAACCAUGGGCUCAACCUGUGGCCUGCAUUUGAAACUGUUUUUCUUGAGUACUGGAGAGGCAGACGGAAUGCCUAGUGUAGCGGUGAAAUGCGUAGAUAUUAGGAGGAACACCAGUGGCGAAGGCGGUCUGCUGGACGGCAACUGACGCUGAGGCGCGAAAGCGUGGGGAGCAAACAGGAUUAGAUACCCUGGUAGUC